GACGAACGCUGGCGGCGUGCUUAACACAUGCAAGUCGAACGAAGAGCGAUGGAAGCUUGCUUCUAUCAAUCUUAGUGGCGAACGGGUGAGUAACGCGUAAUCAACCUGCCCUUCAGAGGGGGACAACAGUUGGAAACGACUGCUAAUACCGCAUACGAUCUAAUCUCGGCAUCGAGGAUAGAUGAAAGGUGGCCUCUACAUGUAAGCUAUCACUGAAGGAGGGGAUUGCGUCUGAUUAGCUAGUUGGAGGGGUAACGGCCCACCAAGGCGAUGAUCAGUAGCCCGUCUGAGAGGAUGGACGGCCACAAUGGGAAUGGGACACGGCCCAGACUUCUACGGGAGGCAGCAGUGGGGAAUCUUCCGCAAUGGACGGAAGUCUGACGGAGCAACGCCGCGUGAGUGAUGACGGCCUUCGGGUUUUAAAGCUCUGUUAAUCGGGACGAAAGGCCUUCUUGCGAAUAGUGAGAAGGAUUGACGGUACCGGAAUAGAAAGCCACGGCUAACUACGUG
RNAcentral lists this ribosomal RNA (510 nucleotides) under uncultured bacterium. RNAcentral's name for it is "partial 16S ribosomal RNA". It matches the Rfam family "Bacterial small subunit ribosomal RNA", at positions 28 to 507 of the family's 1533-position model. The record is from RNAcentral.